CCUCUUCGGUUCCAAUGACUAUGUGGAAUCUUCUUCUCCCAUUCAAACCCUAAUUUGAAUUACGUGAUCCCACCUCCUCAACUACAACCCAUCUUUUAUUAUAUAUAGUAAUAAUCAUCAGUAUUUUCGUAGAAAAAAAACAUACACUUUCCUUGCUGGUUGGUUGUUUUAUGCUUUCACUGAUGUUAUUUGGCAACAUGGGUUUUCAAAUUUCUGAUGAACUGUUGGGUACUUUUGUCCCAAUUCUUGUCUACUGGGUUUAUUCGGGGUUGUAUGUUGGAUUAGGAUACUUUGAAAAUUAUAGAUUGCACACCAAGCAGGAUGAGGAUGAGAAAAAUUUGGUCUCCAAAGCCACUGUUGUGAAAGGCGUUCUUCUUCAACAAUCUAUACAAGCUGUUGUUGCUAUCCUCUUGUUUAC
RNAcentral lists this unclassified non-coding RNA (418 nucleotides) under Hevea brasiliensis (rubber tree). Lineage: Eukaryota; Viridiplantae; Streptophyta; Magnoliopsida; Malpighiales; Euphorbiaceae. The record is from RNAcentral.